Molecule: ribosomal RNA, 374 nt
Filed under: uncultured eukaryote
Lineage: Eukaryota
Description: partial 18S ribosomal RNA
Rfam family: Eukaryotic small subunit ribosomal RNA
Source: RNAcentral
CAAGAGCGUAUGUAAAAGUUGUUGCAGUUAAAAAGCUCGUAGUUGAACCUUGGGUUUGGUUGGCCGGUCCGCUUUUUUGCGAGUACUGGAUUCAACCGAGCCUUUCCUUCUGGCUAACCAGUCGUUUCGGCGGCUGGCGAACCAGGAUUUUUACUUUGAGAAAAUUAGAGUGUUCAAAGCAGGCAUUAGCUUGAAUAUAUUAGCAUGGAAUAAUAGAAUAGGACGUUAUGGUUCUAUUUUGUUGGUUUCUAGGACCAUCGUAAUGAUUAAUAGGGACGGUCGGGGGCAUCAGUAUUCAGUUGUCAGAGGUGAUAUUCUUGGAUUUACUGAAGACUAACUACUGCGAAAGCAUUUGCCAAGGACGUUUUCAUUAA